AGCGAUGGCCGCCUUGCGAGGUGCUGCAUGGUUGUCGUCAGCUCGUGCCGUGAGGUGUCGGGUUAAGUCCCAUAACGAGCGCAACCCCUAACCUGCUAGUUGCCAGCGGGUCAUGCCGGGGACGUCUAGCGGAACUGCCAGCGUAAGCUGCGAGGAAGGUGGGGAUGACGUCAAAUCAGCACGGCCCUUACGUCCAGGGCUACACACGUGUUACAAUGGCCGGUACAGAGGGCAGCCACCCCGCGAGGGGGCGCGAAUCCCGAAAGCCGGUCCCAGUUCGGAUCGGAGUCUGCAACCCGACUCCGUGAAGCUGGAUUCGCUAGUAAUCGCGCAUCAGCCACGGCGCGGUGAAUACGUUCCCGGGCCUU
RNAcentral lists this ribosomal RNA (368 nucleotides) under uncultured Rikenellaceae bacterium. RNAcentral's name for it is "bacterial SSU rRNA". It matches the Rfam family "Bacterial small subunit ribosomal RNA", at positions 1018 to 1382 of the family's 1533-position model. The record is from RNAcentral. Lineage: Bacteria; Pseudomonadati; Bacteroidota; Bacteroidia; Bacteroidales; Rikenellaceae.